This 460-nucleotide ribosomal RNA is filed under the name uncultured bacterium. Its description in RNAcentral is "SSU rRNA". It matches the Rfam family "Bacterial small subunit ribosomal RNA", at positions 26 to 518 of the family's 1533-position model. The record is from RNAcentral.
AGAAUCAACGCUGGCGGCGUGCCUAACACAUGCAAGUCGAACGAGAAAGGGGAGCAAUCCCUGAGUACAGUGGCGACCGGGUGAGUAACACGUGACUAACCUACCCUCGAGUGUGGAAUAACAUCGGGAAACCGAUGCUAAUACCGCAUAACAUCGCAAGAUCAAAGGAGUAAUCCGCUUGAGGAGGGGGUCGCGGCUGAUUAGCUAGUUGGCGGGGUAAUGGCCCACCAAGGCGAAGAUCGGUAUCCGGCCUGAGAGGGCGCACGGACACACUGGAACUGAAACACGGUCCAGACUUCUACGGGAGGCAGCAGUGGGGAAUUUUGCGCAAUGGGGGAAACCCUGACGCAGCAACGCCGCGUGGAGGAUGAAGCCCCUUGGGGCGUAAACUCCUUUCGACCAAGACGAUAAUGACGGUACUGGUGGAAGAAGCACCGGCUAACUCUGCGCCAGCAGCCGC